GAUGAACGCUGGCGGCGUGCCUAAUACAUGCAAGUCGAGCGAACAGACGAGGAGCUUGCUCCUCUGACGUUAGCGGCGGACGGGUGAGUAACACGUGGAUAACCUACCUAUAAGACUGGGAUAACUUCGGGAAACCGGAGCUAAUACCGGAUAAUAUAUUGAACCGCAUGGUUCAAUAGUGAAAGACGGUUUUGCUGUCACUUAUAGAUGGAUCCGCGCCGCAUUAGCUAGUUGGUAAGGUAACGGCUUACCAAGGCAACGAUGCGUAGCCGACCUGAGAGGGUGGUCGGCCACACUGGAACUUAGACACGGUCCAGACUCCUACGGGAGGCAGCAGUAGGGAAUCUUCCGCAAUGGGCGAAAGCCUGACGGAGCAACGCCGCGUGAGUGAUGAAGGUCUUCGGAUCGUAAAACUCUGUUAUUAGUGAAGAACAAAUGUGUAAGUAACUAUGCACGUCUUGACGGUACCUAAUCAGAAAGCCCCGGCUAACUACGUG
This 497-nucleotide ribosomal RNA is filed under the name uncultured bacterium. Its description in RNAcentral is "partial 16S ribosomal RNA". It matches the Rfam family "Bacterial small subunit ribosomal RNA", at positions 28 to 507 of the family's 1533-position model. The record is from RNAcentral.